This 27-nucleotide small RNA is filed under the name Bombyx mori (domestic silkworm). RNAcentral describes it as "ovarian small RNA-163". The record is from RNAcentral. Lineage: Eukaryota; Metazoa; Arthropoda; Insecta; Lepidoptera; Bombycidae.
UUUUGCUGAGUAGCUAAAGAUGUGUGA